AAAGGUAAGCUACUAAGAGCGAAUGGUGGAUGCCUUGACUGGUAAAGGCGAUGAAGGACGUACUAGACUGCGAUAAGCUACGGGGAGCUGUCAAGAAGCUUUGAUCCGUAGAUUUCCGAAUGGGGCAACCCAAUGUAUAGAGAUAUACAUUACCUAUAUAGGAGCGAACGAGGGGAAUUGAAACAUCUUAGUACUCU
This 197-nucleotide ribosomal RNA is filed under the name Campylobacter jejuni. RNAcentral's name for it is "partial 23S ribosomal RNA". It matches the Rfam family "Bacterial large subunit ribosomal RNA", at positions 1 to 212 of the family's 2925-position model. The record is from RNAcentral. Lineage: Bacteria; Pseudomonadati; Campylobacterota; Epsilonproteobacteria; Campylobacterales; Campylobacteraceae.